AACGGAUUGAAGGUCGAUAAUGGAGGAGAUAGAAAUCGAUGGUGGGUGAUGGCUCCUUGGAGGCGGCGGCGAUGGCGGCUCACCUUCCAUUUCAUCCUUUCAGAUGAUCCUGGUUCUUCACAGCUUUCGCCAAAGCUGCAAAAAGCUUCCAAACUGGGAUGAUGGACCUGGAUCGCUAAGAGAAGCGUGUCGGAUAAAGUAACCACUCUGGAUUGUCUGAGGUCAUACUUGAAUGUGUCAUCUUAAAAAUGGCGGAAGAAUACAAGACCACCAUGGAAUCAGUCAGGUCAUGGGUCGUUCAACACAAGCUUCGUA
This is a long non-coding RNA of Spinacia oleracea (spinach), 315 nucleotides long. RefSeq lists it as uncharacterized. NCBI's taxonomy places the organism in Eukaryota, Viridiplantae, Streptophyta, Magnoliopsida, Caryophyllales, Amaranthaceae. The transcript is spliced from 3 exons. The record is from RefSeq and is a predicted model, not a curated record.